This 468-nucleotide ribosomal RNA is filed under the name uncultured bacterium. RNAcentral describes it as "partial 16S ribosomal RNA". It matches the Rfam family "Bacterial small subunit ribosomal RNA", at positions 28 to 507 of the family's 1533-position model. The record is from RNAcentral.
GACGAACGCUGGCGGCGUGCUUAACACAUGCAAGUCGAACGGAAAGGCCCUGCUUUUGUGGGGUGCUCGAGUGGCGAACGGGUGCGUAACACGUGAGUAACCUGCCCUUGACUUUGGGAUAACUUCAGGAAACUGGGGCUAAUACCGGAUAGGAGCUCCUGCUGCAUGGUGGGGGUUGGAAAGUUUCGGCGGUUGGGGAUGGACUCGCGGCUUAUCAGCUUGUUGGUGGGGUAGUGGCUUACCAAGGCUUUGACGGGUAGCCGGCCUGGGAGGGUGACCGGCGACAUUGGGACUGAGAUACGGCCCGGACUCCUACGGGAGGCAGCAGUGGGGAAUAUUGCACAAUGGGCGGAAGCCUGAUGCAGCAACGCCGCGUGCGGGAUGACGGCCUUCGGGUUGUAAACCGCUUUCGCCUGUGACGAAGCGUGAGUGACGGUAAUGGGUAAAGAAGCACCGGCUAACUACGUG